UACGGAAGGCAGCAGUGGGGAAUAUUGCACAAUGGGCGCAAGCCUGAUGCAGCCAUGCCGCGUGUAUGAAGAAGGCCUUCGGGUUGUAAAGUACUUUCAGUCGUGAGGAAGGUGUUAAGGUUAAUAACCUUAGCAAUUGACGUUAGCGACAGAAGAAGCGCCGGCUAACUCCGUGCCAGCAGCCGCGGUAAUACGGAGGGUGCGAGCGUUAAUCGGAAUUACUGGGCGUAAAGGGCACGCAGGCGGUUAAUUAAGUUGGAUGUGAAAUCCCCGGGCUUAACCUGGGAAUGGCAUUCAAGACUGGUUAGCUAGAGUCUUGUAGAGGGGGUAGAAUUCCAUGUGUAGCGGUGAAAUGCGUAGAGAUGUGGAGGAAUCCGGGUGGCGAAGGCGGCCCCUGGGACAAAGGCUGACGCUCAUGUGCGAAAGCGUGGGGAGCAAACAGGGAUUAGAUACC
RNAcentral lists this ribosomal RNA (454 nucleotides) under uncultured bacterium. Its description in RNAcentral is "bacterial SSU rRNA". It matches the Rfam family "Bacterial small subunit ribosomal RNA", at positions 340 to 786 of the family's 1533-position model. The record is from RNAcentral.